Eriocheir sinensis (Chinese mitten crab) is the source of this 4976-nucleotide RNA transcript. It is a transcript of the gene named neuroligin-4, Y-linked-like, with no coding region annotated. NCBI's taxonomy places the organism in Eukaryota, Metazoa, Arthropoda, Malacostraca, Decapoda, Varunidae. The record is from RefSeq and is a predicted model, not a curated record. The transcript is spliced from 14 exons.
AGUUAGUAUGACGCGGAACUAUGGACGGUGAAGUACGGUGCGGCUGUGAGCGGUGACGGGCAUCGAAAUGGCGACUCAAGUGGUAGUGAGGCGAUGGUGGGGGUGGUGUUGUGUGCUAGUGGUGGCGGUAGGGACGCUCGCAGGGGUGGCGGAGGGACAAUUCCGCAACGAUCGCGACCAAGAACUCUUACGGGACGACUACUGGCGGAGUAACUAUCGGAGUCGAGGCUAUACCACUCCACCCCCCGUCCGAACGCGUUACAACAGUGGGGACACUUACUACGGCACGGAUAACCGAUACCAGGACACGCGUUACGACGACCCAUCACAGUUACGAGGGUCCGACGGGCGCUUCCUCGACCAGGAGUUCAGGUACAGCGAGAACCCAAGACUGAGUGGAAACUACCUGGGGCGAGGCAGGUAUGACGCCCGAGGGAGGGAACGCCCAGGGUCACGCCCAGGCUCUCGCCCCGGGGAAGAGCAAUGGGACCAAGGCUUCGGGAUUCUUGACAUGUGGCGCCCCGACCUGCAGGGGGAGUUCCGGCCGUCUGAGGAGCCAGGCCUGACAGUCCCUCUGGCUGACAUUUUCGUGACCACCGACUCGGGCAAGGUGCAGGGCUUCUACGUCUACCUGUACGACAAGCCCGGUAUGCGCCCCAACGAACGCCCCGUCAACAAGCCUAUCCACCAGCAGCGCUACAUCAUGAACGUGUCCACCUUCCUCGGCAUUCCGUACGCCAAGCCGCCUUUGUUCGAGGGACGGUUCAAGCCCCCCCGACACGUCCCCAACUGGUACAGCACCUGGCAGGGCUUGGACUACCAGAGUGCCUGCCCCCAGAACCUCAAGUACAUCGGCACCUCCAACCACAUUAGAAACAUCCAUGAAGACUGCCUCUACCUCAACAUCUUCUCCCCCUCGGUGUCCAUCACGGUGAACAACCAGUACCCAGUGCUUUUCUAUGUGCAUGGGGGUGACCUGGACCAUGGGGCAAGCAACCAGUUUCCGGGGCACAUGCUGGCUGCUUGGGGGGAGGUGGUGGUGGUCACCUUCAAUUACAGGCUUGGAGCACUGGGCUUCCUCAGCACUGGAGAUGCCAACUCACCUGGCAACUAUGGUCUCAUGGACAUGGCAAUGGCCCUGGAGUGGGUGUAUACUAACAUCCGUUUCUUCAAUGGUGACCGCAGCAAGAUCACGGUGUUUGGGCCGGGUGCAGGAGGGGCCAUGGCAGGGUUACUUGCUGUGCUUCCCAAGACCAAGGACUAUGUCAGCCAGGUUAUUGCCAUGAGUGGCUCUCCCCUGGCAGAGUGGGCAGCACUGGAUGAUGUGUAUCGUGUGCAGAACACCUCCCGAGUCUAUGGCCAGGAGGUGGGCUGUACUGUGGAGAGUUCAUACAAGCUGCUGCAAUGCCUCAACCGCCGCAGCUAUGAAGAACUCUCCACUGCACCCAUUAUUCCUGAUCUUGGGACCUUCGCUUGGGCUCCAGCCGUGGAUACCAACUUCACUGUGCCGGGCGAUGACUGGUACGAGGAGUGGGAGGAGGCGGACUGGCACAUCCUCCCUGAGAUGCCCCUUGCCCUGUACCAAAGAAACCACCACCACCCCCAGCUGCGCGCCCUUACAGGAGUCAACCGUGAUGCUGCUGCCAACUUUGUCUUCGAAGACAACCGGCUGGUGCGCAAUCAUCAUGAGGUGACGGAGGAGUUCUUCAACGAGCGGGUGAAGGAAUGGGUGAAGCACUACAACUACUCCCUCAACCCUGAAGGUGCCUACGACGCCAUCAAGUGGAUGUACACCUACGGCCCCGACCCUCACAACGUCACACACAUAAGGGAGGAGUAUGUCAAUAUGCUUUCAGAUUCACUCUACAAGUCAGGUGUGGACCAGCUGGUGAAGGUGCUUGUCAACUCCACCAACAAGCGCAGUGUUCCCACCUAUUACUACCUCCUCAACACUACUGUGGAGGCCCUCAAACUACCCUUCUGGAGACAGAUCCCAAACAAUAUUGAGUAUUACUUCAUCACCGGCGCUCCCUUCAUGGACCCGGACUUUUACCCCGAGACCAUGCGGGUGUCUCGGGAGCAGUGGGGUGAGGGCGACCGCAACAUCUCCGAGUUCAUGAUGAAGACACUCGCUAACUUUGCCAAGUGGGGCAACCCCACCCAGUCACAGGUUCAAAUACUCAAGGUAAACUGGGAGCAGGUGUUGGAAGGUAACCUGAAGUACCUGAGCAUCAACACCACCUUCAACACCUCCAUCCACUACAACUACCGCCAGCCCUACAACACCUUCUGGACCACCUACAUCCCCCAGGUCGUGAGAGAGUGGGUGCCCACUGUUCCCCCACCUCUCAAUCCUUGGACACAGAUGAGCCAACCCAUUGUGGCAGCCUUCUAUGGGUCGCUGGUGGCCUGUGUGGUGCUGCUGGUGAUCCUCUUUGUCUGCUGUGGCCUCUGGAAGUCAGCUAAGAGACAGAGGAACAAGGCCCUGGACGACCUCCAGUACAUCUCCUCCGACCACCUCGAGCCACCAGAACACCAAGACGACUACAAGGUGAGGGAGUACCUAGACAAGCUCUCUAACCAUCAGCUCAGCACUGGCCUGCCCUCUCGGCCCAUCACCCCCAACACCAUCACCACCGACGCCCCGGAGCUUUCCGAGGCCGGGACGCUCAAGAGGGGCAUGAACAACUAUGAAAGUUACCGUCCCAAUAAUCAGACAAUGGCAAAGUCUGUCGACCAGCUGAGUCAGCCACGUUAUCAGGUUGACCGCAGUCAUGACCCCCACCCAGCCAAGAUCCACAUCUCUAGAUCCACAGAUAACAUACUUGAGAGCUAUCCUCAGGCAUACAUCACAGCAGACAUGGGGGCACAGCUUAAUGGGCGCCCUCACCAGCCACAACCAAGAAAGAACAAUAAUAACAACAAUAACAACCUAAUAUCCAUGACUCCACCCCAGCAUAUGCGGCCCAUUACUCCAGCCUCAGAGAUUCACUCGGAGCCUGUAAGGAAACCACCCUCAGAGAUUCACUCAGAGCCUGUACGGAGACCAUCCUAUGACAAUGCCUUUACAACACAGCCGCUUGUAUGCCAGGAGCUGGAGAAGCCACCGAGAACACCAGUACCAGCUAUGCGCACCUCGGUGGCCACAGUCACCUCCACCACAGGCUUGCUGCAUACUGAGCUGUAAAGCCUAGUGUAGUUAGACUCAAGACACAUCAGCACUGAAAUUUCUGAGCUAUAUCUCAUUGUACAUAUUUACAAAAGCUGCAAACUCUUCUUUCUAUAUUAACGUCCAGCCGUGUGUGGCAUUUAUGUUAGUGUUGUGUACCUAGCCAGACAUAGGGUCAAAGACAGAACUGGCUCAGCUGUGGGUGGGUCAUGGACUAGACUUGCUGCUGAUGCACAGUGGAGAAAGGACAAGUGUAGGAGUCAUGCAAUGGAGGUGUUACUUAUAAUAUUUAAGUCGAUGACCACAUAAAUUGUAGUGCUUUUCUUUUUAAAUGUAGUGCCAAAAUUUGGUUGCUUAAUACACUGUGUUCACAUUAUAUCUUAAGGAGUGUAUGACAUUAAUUUAUAUGGUCAUAAUUGCUAGCUCAAAGCAUUUAUGCAUCAGCCAGAAUAAUUAUUUCCUCCAGGAGGAUAUAUAGAAAUUUUGUUCGUCUAGUUAUCUACUAAGGUCACAAAAGAAACUUUACAAAUGGAACUGAUUUAAAGUUCUGUACUAUAUCUCAAUUUUGUUCAAUGCUACAAUUACAAAAUGAGUUAAGGUUGUUAAUGAUGCAUGAUAUCUAUGGCUGUGCAAGACCUUGCUACUUGUAGAGGCAAAGGAUGAAGGAGAGCAGUAGGAACAGUUAUUUGUCAUGCAUUAAGUACAACCCAAGAAUUAUAUGGAUAGGAGAGUAGCUAUAUUGAAGGAGGAAAAAGUACUGGGAAGGAGGAGGCAGAAAAGUAUGUUAGUUCUCAAAUACAAGAACACCAACAUUUAACAAAUCUUUUUAACAAUGUUAUAUCUUAGUAAGGAAAAAGAUAAACUAUUCUGAUGUAUAAAUAUAUAUACAUGAUAUGAUCUCCAAGCAGGAACAAUAGACACUGGUCACAACAAAGACUCUUUAGAGUUGAAUGAGAAGUGACCGUGAUAUUUAUGUUUUAUUGAGAGCAUGUGUAUGUUCUGGCGUGCUUGAUAUGUAUAUAGUUGUUUGAUAGUUAUAUACUGAGAUGUAAUUUAAGUUCUUUUUAUACAAGUCUAGGUAGUUUAUCACUUUAAUGUAAAUCUAUUGCCCUGCCUCAUUAACUUACAUAUUAUGCAUUAUUCAUAUUCUCACUUGUAUCUGCAGUUUAAAAGUAUUUGCAGCAACCGGUUCUCAACAGCAUUUACUACCCGAGGUUUUUCUUUGCCGAUUGCAAGCAAGUUUAACAGUAUUGAUUAGUCUGUGUACUGUAAUUGUACAUGCUAAAGUGUAGGAUGGCAGCAACCAAAGGAAUCCUCAUUAUGAACAUCCAUUAUUAAAUUUUAUCACUAAGUGUUAACUGCAUCAUAAGACUUCUAAGAGUUUCAAGCAAUAACAAUCACAUCCUAUGGGUAAAUGGAUCUAAGUUUCAUUAAAACUGCACAUGGUAAUGCUUAUGCAGUCUGGUUAUUACAGACUCCGACACAUGCCUUCUUCAGUGUCCCAUAUUUAUAACAAAGCUAUUUAUAUUAUUGAAGUGGUUAUUAGGAUGUGAGCUAAGUGCCUGUUAUGAGAUGUGAAACAAAUUACUUAGGGAACAUUAUACUAUAGGCCCACAGAAGGGUAUGAUAUGGGGUAGCAGAGUGCCUUAUGCAUGCCAUCCACUGACUUUGGUAACGAUCAUCCAACACGUUUGCUCAGACCAGAGAGGUUUUGACAUUGCCAGUACUGAAAUGUCUCGUAUGCCUUAUGUACAAAUGUAACAACUUUCUCUUGUUUAUUUUUUUUUAUAAUUAAACUGUAAAUAUA